GUAGAUAUANGGAGGAACACCAGUGGCGAAAGCGGCUCUCUGGUCUGUCACUGACGCUGAGGCUCGAAAGCGUGGGUAGCGAACAGGAUUAGAUACCCUGGUAGUCCACGCCGUAAACGAUGAGUGCUAGGUGUUAGGCCCUUUCCGGGGCUUAGUGCCGGAGCUAACGCAAUAAGCANUCCGCCUGGGGAGUACGACCGCAAGGUUGAAACUCAAAGGAAUUGACGGGGGCCCGCACAAGCGGUGGAGCAUGUGGUUUAAUUCGAAGCAACGCGAAGAACCUUACCAGGUCUUGACAUCCCGAUGCUAUUCUUAGAGAUAGGAAGUUACUUCGGUACAUCGGAGACAGGUGGUGCAUGGUUGUCGUCAGCUCGUGUCGUGAGAUGUUGGGUUNNNNNNNNNNACGAGCGCAACCCUUAUUGUUAGUUGCCAUCAUUAAGUUGGGCACUCUAGCGAGACUGCCGGUAAUAAACCGGAGGAAGGUGGGGAUGACGUCAAAUCAUCAUGCCCCUUAUGACCUGGGCUACACACGUGCUACAAUGGUCGGUACAACGAGUUGCGAGCCGGUGACGGCAAGCUAAUCUCUGAAAGCCGAUCUCAGUUCGGAUUGGAGGCUGCAACUCGCCUCCAUGAAGUCGGAAUCGCUAGUAAUCGCGGAUCAGCACGCCGCGGUGAAUACGUUCCCGGGCCU
RNAcentral lists this ribosomal RNA (691 nucleotides) under uncultured bacterium. Its description in RNAcentral is "bacterial SSU rRNA". It matches the Rfam family "Bacterial small subunit ribosomal RNA", at positions 690 to 1381 of the family's 1533-position model. The record is from RNAcentral.